Molecule: ribosomal RNA, 465 nt
Filed under: uncultured bacterium
Lineage: Bacteria
Description: partial 16S ribosomal RNA
Rfam family: Bacterial small subunit ribosomal RNA
Source: RNAcentral
GACGAACGCUGGCGGCGUGCUUAACACAUGCAAGUCGAACGGAAAGGCCCCUUUGGGGGUACUCGAGUGGCGAACGGGUGAGUAACACGUGAGUAACCUGCCCUUGACCUCGGGAUAACUUCAGGAAACUGGGGCUAAUACCGGAUAGGCAUCCUUGCUGCAUGGUGGGGGUUGGAAAGCUUCGGCGGUUUUGGAUGGACUCGCGGCUUAUCAGCUUGUUGGUGGGGUAGUGGCUUACCAAGGCUUUGACGGGUAGCCGGCCUGAGAGGGCGACCGGCGACAUUGGGACUGAGAUACGGCACAGACUCCUACGGGAGGCAGCAGGGGGGAAUAGUGAACAAUGGGCGGAAGCCGGAUGCAGCAAGGCCGCGUGCGGGAUGACGGCCUUCGGGUUGUAAACCGCUUUCAGCAGGGGCGGAGCGUGUGGUGACGGUACCUGCAGAAGAAGCACCGGCUAACUACGUG